Molecule: ribosomal RNA, 253 nt
Filed under: uncultured bacterium
Lineage: Bacteria
Description: partial 16S ribosomal RNA
Rfam family: Bacterial small subunit ribosomal RNA
Source: RNAcentral
UACGUAGGGUGCGAGCGUUAAUCGGAAUUACUGGGCGUAAAGCGUGCGCAGGCGGUUUUUUAAGCCAGAUGUGAAAUCCCCGGGCUCAACCUGGGAAUGGCAUUUGGGACUGCAAGGCUGGAGUUUGGCAGAGGAGACUGGAAUUCCCGGUGUAGCAGUGAAAUGCGUAGAUGUCGGGAGGAAUACCGAUGGCGAAGGCAGGUCUCUGGGCUAUAACUGACGCUCAUGCACGAAAGCGUGGGGAGCAAACAGG